GCCUCUUGAAUAAGUAUAAGAGGUCCAGCCUGCCCAGUGACUCUGUUCAACGGCCGCGGUAUCCUAACCGUGCGAAGGUAGCGUAAUCACUUGUUCUUUAAAUAAGGACUAGUAUGAAUGGCACCACGAAGGUUAUACUGUCUCCUCUUUUUAAUCAGUGAAACUAAUCUCCCCGUGAAGAAGCGGGGAUAAAACUAUAAGACGAGAAGACCCUAUGGAGCUUUAAACCAUGUAGAACUUGCACCUAUCAAACACAAAUUCCAGAAAAAUAUACUUCACCCAUGCAAGAUUACUACCAGUUUUAGGUUGGGGUGACCGCGGAGCAAAAAUAAACCUCCACAUUGAAAGGAACCCACUCCUUAGCCAAGAGCCACACCUCUAUGCAACAUAACAAUGACAUUAAUUGACCCAAUAUUUUGAUCAACGAACCAAGUUACCCUAGGGAUAACAGCGCAAUCCACUUUAAGAGCUCCUAUCGACAAGUGGGUUUACGACCUCGAUGUUGGAUCAGGGUAUCCCGGUGGUGCAGCC
This 531-nucleotide ribosomal RNA is filed under the name Rulyrana spiculata (Cuzco cochran frog). RNAcentral's name for it is "partial large subunit ribosomal RNA". It matches the Rfam family "Bacterial large subunit ribosomal RNA", at positions 1825 to 2560 of the family's 2925-position model. The record is from RNAcentral. Lineage: Eukaryota; Metazoa; Chordata; Amphibia; Anura; Centrolenidae.